UAGGCUGCAACUCGCCUACACGAAGCUGGAAACGCUAGUAAUCGCGGAUCAGCACGCCGCGGUGAAUACGUUCCCGGGCCUUGUACACACCGCCCGUCACACCAUGAGAGUCUGUAACACCCAAAGCCGGUGGGAUAACCUUUAUAGGAGUCAGCCGUCUAAGGUAGGACAGAUGAUUAGGGUGAAGUCGUAACAAGGUACC
This 202-nucleotide ribosomal RNA is filed under the name uncultured bacterium. Its description in RNAcentral is "partial 16S ribosomal RNA". It matches the Rfam family "Bacterial small subunit ribosomal RNA", at positions 1301 to 1500 of the family's 1533-position model. The record is from RNAcentral.